Small nuclear RNA from Phyllostomus hastatus (greater spear-nosed bat), 163 nucleotides. RefSeq annotates it as U1 spliceosomal RNA. The record is from RefSeq and is a predicted model, not a curated record. The transcript has a single exon. NCBI's taxonomy places the organism in Eukaryota, Metazoa, Chordata, Mammalia, Chiroptera, Phyllostomidae.
AUACUUACUUGACAGGGGAGAUACCAUCAUCGUGAAAGUGGUUUUUCCAGGGUGAGACUUAUCCAUUGCAUCUGGAUAUGCUGAUCCCUGCGAUUUCUCCAAAUGUGGGAAACUUGACUGCAUAAUUUGUGGUAGUGAGGGGCUGUAUUCAUGACCUCCCCUG